Malania oleifera is the source of this 758-nucleotide long non-coding RNA. RefSeq lists it as uncharacterized. The record is from RefSeq and is a predicted model, not a curated record. The transcript is spliced from 2 exons. NCBI's taxonomy places the organism in Eukaryota, Viridiplantae, Streptophyta, Magnoliopsida, Santalales, Ximeniaceae.
AGAAAAUUGAGAAGAUUGGCAGCAGGGACGGUGCUUUUUUUUUUUUUUUUUUGGGGGCGGCUGUUGAAAGAUGACGAUUUGGCUAUACGACGUUUCGAAUCUCUCAAAGAAAAAAUUAGGAAUAUGUAGACCAUCAGGUAAGUAUAACCAUCUAACUUAUGUUGUCAAUAACAUCGAAGAAAAAUGUGGAUCUUCAAACGAUGCAUGGCACCUAGUCUACGACGAUGGAAAGAUACGUGUGAUAGCUUUCGAGAGCUGCGAAUGGAAAUUCGUAGUAGUAGUUGAAAAAGAGGGCGAUCCAGAUUAUGUUGCACUAUGGGAUAUACAGGAAGAUGGCACGGGGGUUAAUUUCAUCUUUGAUGAGAACAAGAAAAUUUGGUUUUGCUCUUCAAAGCAUGCGUUGGAACAAAAUGGAGAGAAGCACAAGGCUUGGAUUCUGGACACUGCUGCUGCACGUUCCCUUUGGAAAUGGGUUCCCUUUGGCCAAAAAUGAGCAUUGUGCUGAUUAGGGUUUGUGCUCAGUGGGCUUUUUAUGUUGUAAUAAUAAUAGCACUAGCAAGCUUUCUGCUCAGUUGGCCUUCUAAUAUUAGAAUAAUAUAUAGUUCAAAGCCUGCCUAAUUAGUCGGCUUCUGUUUUGUAAUCAAGUGAGUCUUCUACAUGGGGGGAAUAACUUUCACAUGUAGUAGUAAAACUGGUUACGGGGUACAGAUAUAGUUUGAUAAUUAGUUUUAAUAAUAACAGUAUCAUAAUUUAACGCA